UAUAGUCGAAUAUUACGAACAAUAGUUUAAAAUUCAAAGAACUUGGCGGUGUCUUAUAUGCCCAGGGGAACCUGUCUCAUAACUCGAUAACCCACGAUCUCCCAACCUUCUCUAGAUAUUCAGCCUGUAUACUGCCGUCGUAAGUAUACCUCUAAAAGAUAAAGUAUACAAUCAUGACAACUACUAUAUAGUAACUCAUUUACGUCAGGUCAAAGUGCAGCCAAUAAGAAGGUGAUGAUGGGUUACAACCUAAAAACAGACAUAGAUUAAGACAUUAAAAGCCUUAUGAAAGUGGACUUGGUUGUAAUAAAAAUAAAAUAUUAUAAUAAACAACAAUCUAAGACAUGUACACAUCGCCCG
RNAcentral lists this ribosomal RNA (360 nucleotides) under Neodiplotrema altanmoui. RNAcentral's name for it is "partial 12S ribosomal RNA". Lineage: Eukaryota; Metazoa; Annelida; Clitellata; Crassiclitellata; Megascolecidae. The record is from RNAcentral.